Molecule: ribosomal RNA, 570 nt
Filed under: uncultured bacterium
Lineage: Bacteria
Description: partial 16S ribosomal RNA
Rfam family: Bacterial small subunit ribosomal RNA
Source: RNAcentral
UGGGGAAUUUUGGACAAUGGGGGAAACCCUGAUCCAGCCAUCCCGCGUGUGCGAUGAAGGCCUUCGGGUUGUAAAGCACUUUUGGCAGGAAAGAAACGUCGCGGGUUAAUACCCCGCGGAACUGACGGUACCUGCAGAAUAAGCACCGGCUAACUACGUGCCAGCAGCCGCGGUAAUACGUAGGGUGCAAGCGUUAAUCGGAAUUACUGGGCGUAAAGCGUGCGCAGGCGGUUCGGAAAGAAAGAUGUGAAAUCCCAGAGCUUAACUUUGGAACUGCAUUUUUAACUACCGGGCUAGAGUGUGUCAGAGGGAGGUGGAAUUCCGCGUGUAGCAGUGAAAUGCGUAGAUAUGCGGAGGAACACCGAUGGCGAAGGCAGCCUCCUGGGAUAACACUGACGCUCAUGCACGAAAGCGUGGGGAGCAAACAGGAUUAGAUACCCUGGUAGUCCACGCCCUAAACGAUGUCAACUAGCUGUUGGGGUCUUCGGACCUUGGUAGCGCAGCUAACGCGUGAAGUUGCCGCCUGGGGAGUACGGUCGCAAGNUAAAACUCAAAGGAAUUGACGGGGGU